UUUUUUUUAUCCUUGAAGAGCCGCAGUGAAUAGGCCCAAGCGACUGUUUAUCAAAAACACAGGUCUCUGCUAAACCGUAAGGUGAUGUAUAGGGGCUGACGCCUGCCCGGUGCUGGAAGGUUAAGAGGAGUGGUUAGCUUCUGCGAAGCUACGAAUCGAAGCCCCAGUAAACGGCGGCCGUAACUAUAACGGUCCUAAGGUAGCGAAAUUCCUUGUCGGGUAAGUUCCGACCCGCACGAAAGGCGUAACGAUUUGGGCACUGUCUCAACGAGAGACUCGGUGAAAUCAUAGUACCUGUGAAGAUGCAGGUUACCCGCGACAGGACGGAAAGACCCCGUGGAGCUUUACUGUAGCCUGAUAUUGAAAUUUGGCACAGCUUGUACAGGAUAGGUAGGAGCCUUUGAAACGUGAGCGCUAGCUUACGUGGAGGCGCUGGUGGGAUACUACCCUGGCUGUGUUGACUUUCUAACCCGCACCAUUUGAUCAUGGUGGGAGACAGUGUCAGGCGGGCAGUUUGACUGGGGCGGUCGCCUCCUAAAGAGUAACGGAGGCGCUCAAAGGUUCCCUCAGAAUGGUUGGAAAUCAUUCGCAGAGUGUAAAGGCACAAGGGAGCUUGACUGCGAGACCUACAAGUCGAGCAGGGUCGAAAGACGGACUUAGUGAUCCGGUGGUUCCGCAUGGAAGGGCCAUCGCUCAACGGAUAAAAGCUACCCCGGGGAUAACAGGCUUAUCUCCCCCAAGAGUUCACAUCGACGGGGAGGUUUGGCACCUCGAUGUCGGCUCAUCGCAUCCUGGGGCUGUAGUCGGUCCCAAGGGUUGGGCUGUUCGCCCAUUAAAGCGGUACGCGAGCUGGGUUCAGAACGUCGUGAGACAGUUCGGUCCCUAUCCGUCGUGGGCGUAGGAAAUUUGAGAGGAGCUGUCCUUAGUACGAGAGGACCGGGAUGGACAUACCUCUGGUGUACCAGUUGUCGCGCCAGCGGCAUAGCUGGGUAGCUAUGUAUGGACGGGAUAAGUGCUGAAAGCAUCUAAGCAUGAAGCCCCCCUCAAGAUGAGAUUUCCCAACUUCGGUUAUAAGAUCCCUCAAAGAUGAUGAGGUUAAUAGGUUCGGGGUGUAAGCGCAGUAAUGUGUGUAGCUGACGAAUACUAAUCGAUCGAAGA
Molecule: ribosomal RNA, 1158 nt
Filed under: Salmonella enterica subsp. enterica serovar Muenster
Lineage: Bacteria; Pseudomonadati; Pseudomonadota; Gammaproteobacteria; Enterobacterales; Enterobacteriaceae
Description: bacterial LSU rRNA
Rfam family: Bacterial large subunit ribosomal RNA
Source: RNAcentral